RNAcentral lists this unclassified non-coding RNA (272 nucleotides) under Herpotrichiellaceae sp. Its description in RNAcentral is "partial contains 5.8S ribosomal RNA, internal transcribed spacer 2, and large subunit ribosomal RNA". Lineage: Eukaryota; Fungi; Ascomycota; Eurotiomycetes; Chaetothyriales; Herpotrichiellaceae. The record is from RNAcentral.
CGCACAUUGCGCCCUCUGGUAUUCCGGGGGGCAUGCCUGUUCGAGCGUCAUUAUCACCCCUCAAGCCCGGCUUGUUGUUGGACGUCGGCGGCGCCGCGAGGCCCCGCCCGUCUCAAAGAUAAUGACGGCGUCUGUGAGGACUCCUGUACACUGAGCUUUCGGGCACGUACUAGGCUAGAACUCCAGGCCCGGUCUUUAAUCCCAGCCCUCACGGGUUGGGACUCUUUUACAAGGUUGACCUCGGAUCAGGUAGGAAUACCCGCUGAACUUAA